AGAACGAACGCUGGCGGCAGGCCUCAAACAUGCAAGUCUAGGGGGUGUAGCAAUACAUCACCGGCGGACGGGUGCGUAACACGUGGGAAUAUACCUUUUGGUUCGGAACAACGCAGGGAAACUUGCGCUAAUACCGAAUGUGCCCCUACGGGGAAAGAUUUAUCGCCAAAGGAUUAGCCCGCGUAGGAUUAGCUAGUUGGUGAGGUAAUGGCUCACCAAGGCUCCGAUCCUUAGCUGUUCUGAGAGGAAGAUCAGCCACACUGGGACUGAGACACGGCCCAGACUCCUACGGGAGGCAGCAGUUGGGAAUCUGGACAAUGGGGGAAACCCUGAUCCAGCCAUGCCGCGUGAGUGAUGAAGGCCUUCGGGUUGUAAAACUCUUUCGGACGGGACGAUAAUGACGGUACCCGUAGAAGAAGCUCCGGCUAACUUCGUGCCAGCAGCCGC
RNAcentral lists this ribosomal RNA (447 nucleotides) under uncultured bacterium. RNAcentral's name for it is "SSU rRNA". It matches the Rfam family "Bacterial small subunit ribosomal RNA", at positions 26 to 518 of the family's 1533-position model. The record is from RNAcentral.